GCCAUACCCUUUGCCUGUAUUCCCACUCCUCAAAACCUCCCAACACCCCUCUUCUUCUGCCCCUCUAUUUCCCAAUCUCUCCUCCUCUACCCUGAUUUUCCCCUCUACUCCCUCUCAAUUACCCGCCCUUUUCCUUUCAAAUCUUUUCCCUUUACAUUCUUCCACCGCCACUUCUUCUCAAUUUCUGCCAAUUCCCAAACCCUAAGUCUUGAUUCACCCUUCUCUGCGUUUCUCUCAAAACCCCACUUGUGCUCGCCCUUUUCUUUGCUAUUUGGAUUGCUAUAGACGAGGGAAGUUGCAUGUGAGCUCGAUUUCUUUGCUGGGCCUUUGGAAACCUAGUUUUUUUGGCUUGAUCUGGACGGCGUCGUUUUGAGCCUGGAGUCUUCUUGGCCUUUCGGGUUUUGGAGUUUCAGGCUAGUGGUUGCAGUUUCACGAAGAAGGCUGUACUUUCUGGCUCUGAAAUGAUUAUUUGCAUUGGGGUUUUCGAAUUCGAGAAGCAAAGGAACAGCAAGAACAGCUGAGGGUGGAUUUCCCUUGUUUGGGGUUUUCUGAAACAGACGAGAUUUAGAGAGGCAGUGGUACAGAUUAUAAGCUGUCAGUUUGGUGCUGGGAGCUGAGGAAUUGUUGUUGGUGAUGGCCAACCAUGAUUUGAUACUUGGCCCAAAUCACAACUUAGGGCUUGGCCAGAAUCAGCAGUUGGUGUUGGGCCAUAACCAUAAUCUGGGUCUUGGUCAGAACCAUACUUUAGAAUUGGGACAAACCCAUGAGCAUGAUUUGGGUUUGGGACAUUCUCAUGACCAUGAAUUGGGUUUAAGCCAUGCACAUGACCAUGAUCUUGGUUUGGGACAAACUGUUCAUCAAGGGGCUGAUGAACAUGGUUAUGAGCAUGGUAAUGAGUUAGCUAUGGAUCGGAAACCAGAACAUGAUGACCAUGGAUUGUCUCUUGCAGAGCAGAACCAUGAGUUAGCUUUAUCUGAGAACAAUGAAUUGGCUGUUUCAGAAAACCAAGAACUUGAUGAUAACUUAGACCUAGCUGUGGACGAUCACCAGGAAAUGGGGAUUGAAUCUACCUCUGAUAUGGUUCAGCAACACCAGCUUGUAGUUUCCACUCCUGUUCUUCAAGCCCGUACUGUUGUUGCAAACCCAAGUUAUGAGCUGGUGGUUGGACAAGAGUUUCCAGAUGUCAAGAGCUGCCGAAGGGCAUUAAGGGACACUGCCAUUGCCCUUCAUUUUGAAAUGCAGACCAUAAAAUCUGACAAGACUCGUUUUACUGCAAAAUGUGCUAGUGAUGGAUGCCCCUGGCGCAUACAUGCUGCAAAGCUUCCAGGUGUUCCAACUUUCACUAUCAGGACAAUCCAUGAGGCCCAUACAUGUGGAGGAAUUGCUCAUCUUGGUCAUCAGCAAGCCUCAGUUCAGUGGGUUGCAAACUCUGUAGAGCAACGACUUAGGGAAAACCCUAAUUACAAGCCAAAGGAGAUACUGGAAGAGAUACACCGGGUUCAUGGUAUUACCUUAUCAUACAAGCAAGCUUGGCGAGGUAAGGAGCGUAUCAUGGCUGCUAUGCGUGGAUCCUUUGAAGAAGGGUACCGUCUGCUUCCACAAUAUUGUGACCAAGUUAAACGGACGAACCCUGGAAGUAUUGCAUCUGUCUAUGGGAACCCAACAGACAACUGCUUCCAGCGUCUCUUUAUUUCAUUUCAGGCAUCCAUCUAUGGUUUCCUGAAUGCAUGUCGGCCGCUCCUUGGGCUUGAUAGGACAUUCUUGAAAAGUAAGUAUCUUGGUACUUUACUUUUUGCUACUGGUUUUGAUGGUGAUGGUGCUCUGUUUCCUUUGGCAUUUGGUGUUGUUGAUGAGGAAAAUGAUGAGAACUGGAUGUGGUUUCUCUCUGAACUUCAUAACCUGCUUGAGGUUAAUACUGAAAACAUGCCAAGGCUCACAAUUUUAUCAGAUAGGCAGAAAGGCAUUGUAGAUGGAGUGGAAGCAAACUUCCCAACUGCUUUUCAUGGGUUUUGCAUGCGUCACUUGAGUGAUAGCUUCCGAAAGGAGUUUAAUAAUACAAUGCUUGUCAACCUUCUAUGGGAAGCUGCUCAUGCUCUCACUGUAAUUGAAUUUGAGGCAAAAAUCCUAGAAAUUGAAGAGAUAUCACAAGAUGCCGCAUACUGGAUUCGACGAAUUCCACCUCGUUUGUGGGCUACAGCUUAUUUUGAGGGAACACGGUUUGGACAUCUGACAGCUAAUAUAGUUGAAUCUUUAAAUACUUGGAUUCUAGAAGCUUCUGGACUACCAAUUAUUCAGAUGAUGGAAUGCAUUAGGAGACAGCUAAUGACUUGGUUCAAUGAACGCCGAGAGACGAGUAUGCAGUGGACCUCAAUACUUGUGCCUUCUGCUGAGAGACGUGUUGCAGAGGCUCUCGAGCGUGCACGCACUUAUCAGGUGCUACGUGCUAAUGAAGCUGAAUUUGAAGUUAUCUCUCAUGAAGGAACAAAUAUUGUGGAUAUUCGCAAUCGUUGCUGUCUUUGUCGGGGCUGGCAGCUGUAUGGUUUGCCCUGUGCACAUGCUGUGGCUGCACUUCUCUCUUGCAGGCAGAAUGUUCAUCGAUUUACUGAGAGCUGUUUCACUGUUGCAACUUAUCGUAAAACAUACUCACAAACUAUACAUCCAAUUCCAGAUAAAACUCUAUGGAAGGAGUUAUCUGAGGGAGAUCCGAAUGGAAGCAAAUCUGUGGAGAUUAUGAUCAACCCACCCAAAUCACUUAGGCCACCUGGACGACCGAGAAAGAAGCGAGUGCGAGCAGAAGACCGUGGCCGUGUGAAACGAGUUGUGCAUUGUAGCCGUUGUAAUCAGACAGGCCAUUUUAGAACAACAUGUGCAGCACCCAUUUAAGACUUCCCUGUCAACAAUUGGUUUACUACCAUCAUAUUUGGAUUACAGUCAGCUAAUAGAUUUUUGGGUAGUCAUUGUCUGGGAACGGCUCUGGGAUUUCCUCAACUGUUUUGAUUCAACAAAAAAUCGGAAUUCAGGAACUUCACUUGGAGUACCAGUUUCUGGAAUCAAAUAUAACCUGAGGACUUGAGUCCAGGAGCUUCUAACGCAUACCCGCCAAAGUUGUUUGUGGAACUGGAAACCAAAGGUGAAAUUCCUUGGAAAAAGCUUGGGUUCAGUAGAAGGGAGUCAUAUUGGACUAUCAGUUAGACAUCCUCCAAAACUGGCCUGCAAAAAUGAAAAAUAAUUGUCCAAGCAGUGGAGGUCCUUUGCCCCCAUAAUCGUUGCAGAAAGGUGAAGUUGUGUGAAGGCAGGCUUCCUUGAGUAAGAGUUUGGUGAUUUAGAUCAUUAAAGCAGAGUAAGAGUGCAAAAUAAAAGGCAUUUUGAGAGGUUAUCA
RNA transcript from Vitis vinifera (wine grape), 3379 nucleotides. RefSeq lists it as uncharacterized. NCBI's taxonomy places the organism in Eukaryota, Viridiplantae, Streptophyta, Magnoliopsida, Vitales, Vitaceae. The transcript has 5 exons. The record is from RefSeq and is a predicted model, not a curated record.